Molecule: unclassified non-coding RNA, 345 nt
Filed under: soil metagenome
Description: partial contains 5.8S ribosomal RNA, internal transcribed spacer 2, and large subunit ribosomal RNA
Rfam family: 5.8S ribosomal RNA (bases 1-119)
Source: RNAcentral
GAUGAAGAACGUAGCGAAAUGCGAUACGUAAUGUGAAUUGCAAAUUCAGUGAAUCAUCGAGUCUUUGAACGCACAUUGCGCCCCCUGGUAUUCCGGGGGGCAUGCCUGUCCGAGCGUCAUUGCUGCCCUCAAGCACGGCUUGUGUGUUGGGCCCCGUCCUCCGAUCCCGGGGGACGGGCCCGAAAGGCAGCGGCGGCACCGCGUCCGGUCCUCGAGCGUAUGGGGCUUUGUCACCCGCUCUGUAGGCCCGGCCGGCGCUUGCCGAUCAACCCAAAUUUUUAUCCAGGUUGACCUCGAAUCAGGUAGGAAUACCCGCUGAACUUAAGCAUAUCAAUAAGCGGAGGA